AAUAUUUUUUGAUUUAUUUAUAAUGUUUGGUGUCAAAAAUAUGUGAGAAAUGAGGUAUCUACCUAAUGGUAGGAAGAAAUUAAUUAUGUAAUGGUAGGAAAAAUAAUUUCACUUUAAUUACGUAUUAGAAAAUCAGUAAUCUUAAAUUAGGAUGCAUCAAUGCAGAAGAAGGCAAUUGUAAUCACAAUACAAUAAUAGAUCUACAAAUACCAAGCAAUACAUUAAAUCAAAAAUUAAUUAUGUACUCCCUGUGGUCUUAUUAAUGUCAGCUUAUUGAUAGCUCGAUUACCAGUCAAACAGUUUUGAUCUUUUCUAUACUAUGAAGAAAAUUUGAUCUAAUUAGAUUAAUUCAGAUUGUAAAUUUAUGUUAUAGAGUAAGAUAUUCUUAAACAAACCAAGAGGAGAAUCCUCACACACCCCAGUAACCUAAACCAGGUCCAAAGUCCUACUCCAGC
Sitophilus oryzae (rice weevil) is the source of this 455-nucleotide long non-coding RNA. RefSeq lists it as uncharacterized. Lineage: Eukaryota; Metazoa; Arthropoda; Insecta; Coleoptera; Curculionidae. The record is from RefSeq and is a predicted model, not a curated record. The transcript is spliced from 3 exons.